GGUAUCUACCCUUUGGCCUGGAAUACACGAGGAAACUUGUGCUAAUACCGGAUAAGUCUUUACAGAGAAAGCUUUAUGCACCAUUGGAUGAGCCUGCACUUGAUUAGUUUGUUGGUGGGGUAAUGGCCUACCAAGACUUUGAUCAAUAGCUGAUUUGAGAGGAUGAUCAGCCACAUUGGGACUGAGACACGGCCCAAACUCCUACGGGAGGCAGCAGUGGGGAAUCUUGCACAAUGGAGGAAACUCUGAUGCAGCGAUGCCGCGUGAGUGAAGAAGGCCUUUGGGUUGUAAAGCUCUUUCGUCGGGGAAGAAAAUGACUGUACCCGAAUAAGAAGGUCCGGCUAACUUCGUGCCAGCAGCCGCGGUAAUACGAAGGGACCUAGCGUAGUUCGGAAUUACUGGGCUUAAAGAGUUCGUAGGUGGUUGAAAAAGUUGGUGGUGAAAGCCCAGAGCUUAACUCUGGAACUGCCAUCAAAACUUUUCAGCUAGAGUUUGAUAGAGGAAAGCAGAAUUUCUAGUGUAGAGGUGAAAUUCGUAGAUAUUAGAAAGAAUACCAAUUGCGAAGGCAGCUUUCUGGAUCAUUACUGACGCUGAGGAACGAAAGCAUGGGUAGCGAAGAGGAUUAGAUACCCUCGUAGUCCAUGCCGUAAACGAUGUGUGUUAGACGUUGGGAAUUUAUUUUCAGUGUCGCAGUGAAAACGAUAAACACACCGCCUGGGGAGUACGACCGCAAGGUUAAAACUCAAAUGAAUUGACGGGGACCCGCACAAGUAGUGGAGCAUGUGGUUUAAUUCGAAGAUACGCGCAGAACCUUACCAACACUUGACAUGUUCGUCGCGACUCUGAGAGAUUAGAGUUUUCGGUUCGGCCGGACGAAACACAGGUGCUGCAUGGCUGUCGUCAGCUCGUGUCGUGAGAUGUUGGGUUAAAGUCCCGCAACGAGCGCA
RNAcentral lists this ribosomal RNA (947 nucleotides) under marine metagenome. RNAcentral describes it as "bacterial SSU rRNA". It matches the Rfam family "Bacterial small subunit ribosomal RNA", at positions 120 to 1100 of the family's 1533-position model. The record is from RNAcentral.